Molecule: ribosomal RNA, 1343 nt
Filed under: uncultured bacterium
Lineage: Bacteria
Description: 16S ribosomal RNA
Rfam family: Bacterial small subunit ribosomal RNA
Source: RNAcentral
GACGAACGCCGGCGGCGUGCUUAACACAUGCAAGUCGAACGGAAAGGCCCUGCUUUUGUGGGGUGCUCGAGUGGCGAACGGGUGAGUAACACGUGAGUAACCUGCCCUUGACUUUGGGAUAACUUCAGGAAACUGGGGCUAAUACCGGAUAGGAGCUCCUGCUGCAUGGUGGGGGUUGGAAAGUUUCGGCGGUUGGGGAUGGACUCGCGGCUUAUCAGCUUGUUGGUGGGGUAGUGGCUUACCAGGGCUUUGACGGGUAGCCGGCCUGAGAGGGUGACCGGCCACAUUGGGACUGAGAUACGGCCCAGACUCCUACGGGAGGCAGCAGUGGGGAAUAUUGCACAAUGGGCGGAAGCCUGAUGCAGCAACGCCGCGUGCGGGAUGACGGCCUUCGGGUUGUAAACCGCUUUCGCCUGUGACGAAGCGUGAGUGACGGUAAUGGGUAAAGAAGCACCGGCUAACUACGUGCCAGCAGCCGCGGUGAUACGUAGGGUGCGAGCGUUGUCCGGAUUUAUUGGGCGUAAAGGGCUCGUAGGUGGUUGAUCGCGUCGGAAGUGUAAUCUUGGGGCUUAACCCUGAGCGUGCUUUCGAUACGGGUUGACUUGAGGAAGGUAGGGGAGAAUGGAAUUCCUGGUGGAGCGGUGGAAUGCGCAGAUAUCAGGAGGAACACCAGUGGCGAAGGCGGUUCUCUGGGCCUUCCCUGACGCUGAGGAGCGAAAGCGUGGGGAGCGAACAGGCUUAGGUACCCUGGUAGUCCACGCUGUAAACGGUGGGUACUAGGUGUGGGGUCCAUUCCACGGGUUCCGUGCCGUAGCUAACGCUUUAAGUACCCCGCCUGGGGAGUACGGCCGCAAGGCUAAAACUCAAAGGAAUUGACGGGGCCCCGCACAAGCGGCGGAGCAUGCGGAUUAAUUCGAUGCAACGCGUAGAACCUUACCUGGGUUUGACAUGGAUCGGGAGCGCUCAGAGAUGGGUGUGCCUCUUUUGGGGUCGGUUCACAGGUGGUGCAUGGCUGUCGUCAGCUCGUGUCGUGAGAUGUUGGGUUAAGUCCCGCAACGAGCGCAACCCUUGUUCACUGUUGCCAGCACGUUAUGGUGGGGACUCAGUGGAGACCGCCGGGGUCAACUCGGAGGAAGGUGGGGAUGACGUCAAGUCAUCAUGCCCCUUAUGUCCAGGGCUUCACGCAUGCUACAAUGGCUGGUACAGAGAGUGGCGAGCCUGUGAGGGUGAGCGAAUCUCGGAAAGCCGGUCUCAGUUCGGAUUGGGGUCUGCAACUCGACCUCAUGAAGUCGGAGUCGCUAGUAAUCGCAGAUCAGCAACGCUGCGGUGAAUACGUUCCCGGG